Molecule: long non-coding RNA, 1183 nt
Organism: Alosa sapidissima (American shad)
Lineage: Eukaryota; Metazoa; Chordata; Actinopteri; Clupeiformes; Clupeidae
Exons: 4
Source: RefSeq, a predicted model, not a curated record
CGUCUGUCAGGCUUACAGAUCACACUGCUGCCAGAAUCACGUUUCCAUGCCUCACCCGCCUCACCAUGACCUGCUGGAUGAACACCUUGGCCAUUCUAACUGCAAUCUGUGUUGUGUGUGCAGCAAGUAAAGACAGUGUUAAUCAAACUGAGUCACAUGUGAUAAGUAUUGAGGGAGAAACAGUGACUCUCACCUGUGAAUAUAAGACAACCAGUAUCAAACCUUACCUCUUCUGGUACAAACAGCAACGGAGUAAAAUGCCUGACUACCUACUGGGACGUGGAAGUUUUGGAUCUGGCCAUAACGGCACUGAGUUCAGUGAGAGAUUCCACUGCACCUUCUCCUCCAGUUCUGUUCCUCUGACAAUCAGGAAUCUGCAAGUGUCUGACUCUGCUGUCUACUACUGUGCCCUGCAGCCCACAGGCAAUCAUCAGGGAAUCCGAUAACAUCAAACAGGGCUGAGACUACUACUAUGGAAAGAUCUAACACAAUCCUCUCCUGCAACUACUCUUCUGCACAAAUUCUUCAGUGGUAUCGUCAAUAUGAAGGAUCAAUUCCCACAUUUCUAAUGAAUGUGUUCGGUGAGAAAGACCAGAGAUAUGAGGAAGAUGGUCGGAUUGCUGGUAGACUGAAUAAAGAGAAAACCCAAGUGUUCCUGGAGAUCUCCUCCACCCGAGUGUCAGACUCUGCUCUCUACUACUGUGCCAUGCAGCCCACAGUGAUGCAACACCCAGCUGCUCCAUACAAAAACAUUUGCAGUAGUGCAAAAGUAGAAAGUACAGUAGUCCUGAAGUACAGUAUGUGUUUCUGCCUUUCUUUCUGGUUGUUCUGAUAGGACCUUCAUAACUUAUGUAUUUCACACAUGUAAUAUUUUAUGUUAGCAAGAUGUCUUUCCAUAUGUUAUACAAUAAGUGACCUAAUGAUCUAAUAGUUGUUUGCAUGUUGCAUAGCCACUGUAGCUCUACCAAUCAGUGUUCAGAGUGAGGCCUUCCUGAAUGAAGGUCAUGUGACUUAUUUUAGUACCAGUUACCCAAGGAGAGGCACCUCAGAGAGGUUUGUUAUUUACAGAACUAAGAACAUCCUCACAUCAUCUAGCACAGCAUAUUCCACAUGGAGACAUCACUGCUAUUGGUCCUCAUUAUGACAACAGACACAGCUCUCUACUACUGUGCCCUGAGGAGCC